CAGAGUUCAUGCCCGAAAGGGUAGACCUCCCACCCUUGUGUAUUAUUACUUUGUUGCUUUGGCGAGUCGCCUUCGGGCCUUGAGCUCGAGCUCGAGCGUUACGCGCCCAGAGGUUAUCAAAACUCUGUUUAUCAAUGUCGUCUGAGUAUUAUAUAAUAGUUA
RNAcentral lists this ribosomal RNA (162 nucleotides) under Stromatinia rapulum. The record is from RNAcentral. Lineage: Eukaryota; Fungi; Ascomycota; Leotiomycetes; Helotiales; Sclerotiniaceae.